This is a non-coding RNA of Bombyx mori (domestic silkworm), 84 nucleotides long. The record is from Rfam. NCBI's taxonomy places the organism in Eukaryota, Metazoa, Arthropoda, Insecta, Lepidoptera, Bombycidae.
UUAAUUCAAAUUUGUAUGGAGUCGGAACGUUUGCCUACGUUUGCCGCUAAGGGUGCUGAUUCGACUCCAUAAAAAUUUGAGUUA